RNAcentral lists this long non-coding RNA (464 nucleotides) under Pan troglodytes (chimpanzee). RNAcentral describes it as "long non-coding RNA NONPTRT012542". Lineage: Eukaryota; Metazoa; Chordata; Mammalia; Primates; Hominidae. The record is from RNAcentral.
UGAAUCUGUGCUUUGGCUUGCCUUGCUUGUGUGCUUUGUUCAAUUCUUUGUUCUAAAUGCCAAGAACCUGGACAACUACCCUCAACCAGUAACAUGUUUUGGCAAGCCAGCCAGGAGACCAUCAAGCUUCAGAUGACCAGGCAACAAAGCUUCCAGCAAGUUCCAAAUGAAGAUAAUACCCCUGGCCAUCAAGAAACUAUCCUGUUUCUACUAGACAGAGCAUGGAAAGAGUCCCGUGAUCCCCACUAGCAGAAGAACCUCAAGGCCCAGAUGAUAGAUGAUAGUAUCAGACUGGCUCCUGGAUGCAAAGAGCUGCUUUUUUCUUUGUCACCUUUAACAGCACCUGAGGCUGUUGUGAUAUCCUGCAUGGACAAGGAAAUGAUGUUCAUCUAAUACACCCACUUGGGAACACUUUGAUGCCAUUGGCUAUGAUUGUCUUUCUGUUUUCCCUACCCCCAUCUCUA